CAGAUUUUGGGUUUAAAUUUAUUUACAAUAAGUUUUUUAAGUUGUUCAAUUCGGCUGAGUCUGA
Molecule: transfer RNA, 64 nt
Filed under: Aphaena amabilis
Lineage: Eukaryota; Metazoa; Arthropoda; Insecta; Hemiptera; Fulgoridae
Description: tRNA-Val
Source: RNAcentral